CAAAAGGCUCUUUUCAGAGCCAACACUUAUUCUCUGUAGAGCACAU
This is a non-coding RNA of Poecilia formosa (Amazon molly), 46 nucleotides long. The record is from Rfam. Lineage: Eukaryota; Metazoa; Chordata; Actinopteri; Cyprinodontiformes; Poeciliidae.